UACGUAGGGCGCAAGCGUUGUCCGGAAUCAUUGGGCGUAAAGAGCUCGUAGGUGGUCUGUUACGUCCGCUGUGAAAACCUAGGGCUUAACCCUGGGCCUGCAGUGGAUACGGGCAGACUAGAGGUAGGUAGGGGAGAAUGGAAUUCCCGGUGUAGCGGUGAAAUGCGCAGAUAUCGGGAGGAACACCGGUGGCGAAGGCGGUUCUCUGGGCCUUACCUGACACUGAGGAGCGAAAGCGUGGGGAGCAAACAGG
RNAcentral lists this ribosomal RNA (253 nucleotides) under uncultured bacterium. RNAcentral's name for it is "partial 16S ribosomal RNA". It matches the Rfam family "Bacterial small subunit ribosomal RNA", at positions 524 to 776 of the family's 1533-position model. The record is from RNAcentral.